AGACUGCGUUUGAAACUGGUUAUCUUGAGUGUAACAGAGGAGAGUGGAAUUCCUAGUGUAGUGGUGAAAUACGUAGAUAUUAGGAAGAACACCAGUGGCGAAGGCGACUCUCUGGGUUAACACUGACGCUGAGGUACGAAAGCUGGGGGAGCGAACGGGAUUAGAUACCCCGGUAGUCCCAGCCGUAAACGCUGGAUACUAGGUGUUGGAGGUUCGAAUCCUUCAGUGCCGGAGUUAACGCAUUAAGUAUCCCGCCUGGGGAAUACGAUCGCAAGAUUGAAACUCAAAGGAAUUGACGGGGGCCCGCACAAGCGGUGGAGCAUGUGGUUUAAUUCGAAGCAACGCGAAGAACCUUACCGAGAAUUGACAUCCCGUGACCAUCUAUGAAAGUAGA
RNAcentral lists this ribosomal RNA (394 nucleotides) under uncultured bacterium. RNAcentral describes it as "bacterial SSU rRNA". It matches the Rfam family "Bacterial small subunit ribosomal RNA", at positions 618 to 1011 of the family's 1533-position model. The record is from RNAcentral.